RNAcentral lists this transfer RNA (77 nucleotides) under Chloroflexota bacterium. RNAcentral describes it as "Chloroflexi bacterium tRNA-Asp". Lineage: Bacteria; Bacillati; Chloroflexota. The record is from RNAcentral.
GCUCGAGUGGUGUAGCGGCCUAACAUGCCACCCUGUCAAGGUGGAGAGCGGCGGUUCGCUUCGGUCCCGGAGACCCC